RNAcentral lists this ribosomal RNA (860 nucleotides) under Escherichia coli. Its description in RNAcentral is "partial 23S ribosomal RNA". It matches the Rfam family "Bacterial large subunit ribosomal RNA", at positions 604 to 1468 of the family's 2925-position model. Lineage: Bacteria; Pseudomonadati; Pseudomonadota; Gammaproteobacteria; Enterobacterales; Enterobacteriaceae. The record is from RNAcentral.
CCUUUUGUAUAAUGGGUCAGCGACUUAUAUUCUGUAGCAAGGUUAACCGAAUAGGGGAGCCGAAGGGAAACCGAGUCUUAACUGGGCGUUAAGUUGCAGGGUAUAGACCCGAAACCCGGUGAUCUAGCCAUGGGCAGGUUGAAGGUUGGGUAACACUAACUGGAGGACCGAACCGACUAAUGUUGAAAAAUUAGCGGAUGACUUGUGGCUGGGGGUGAAAGGCCAAUCAAACCGGGAGAUAGCUGGUUCUCCCCGAAAGCUAUUUAGGUAGCGCCUCGUGAAUUCAUCUCCGGGGGUAGAGCACUGUUUCGGCAAGGGGGUCAUCCCGACUUACCAACCCGAUGCAAACUGCGAAUACCGGAGAAUGUUAUCACGGGAGACACACGGCGGGUGCUAACGUCCGUCGUGAAGAGGGAAACAACCCAGACCGCCAGCUAAGGUCCCAAAGUCAUGGUUAAGUGGGAAACGAUGUGGGAAGGCCCAGACAGCCAGGAUGUUGGCUUAGAAGCAGCCAUCAUUUAAAGAAAGCGUAAUAGCUCACUGGUCGAGUCGGCCUGCGCGGAAGAUGUAACGGGGCUAAACCAUGCACCGAAGCUGCGGCAGCGACGCUUAUGCGUUGUUGGGUAGGGGAGCGUUCUGUAAGCCUGUGAAGGUGUGCUGUGAGGCAUGCUGGAGGUAUCAGAAGUGCGAAUGCUGACAUAAGUAACGAUAAAGCGGGUGAAAAGCCCGCUCGCCGGAAGACCAAGGGUUCCUGUCCAACGUUAAUCGGGGCAGGGUGAGUCGACCCCUAAGGCGAGGCCGAAAGGCGUAGUCGAUGGGAAACAGGUUAAUAUUCCUGUACUUGGUGUUACUGCGAAGGG